GACGAACGCUGGCGGCGUGCUUAACACAUGCAAGUCGAACGAUGAACCCGGAGCUUGCUCCGGUGGAUUAGUGGCGAACGGGUGAGUAACACGUGAGUAACCUGCCCUUGACUCUGGGAUAACUGCGGGAAACUGUAGCUAAUACCGGAUACGACCCUCGGCGGCAUCGCCAGGGGGUGGAAAGAAUUUCGGUCAAGGAUGGACUCGCGGCCUAUCAGCGAGUUGGUGUGGUAACGGCCCACCAAGGCGACGACGGGUAGCCGGCCUGAGAGGGUGGCCGGCCACACUGGGACUGAGACACGGCCCAGACUCCUCCGGGAGGCAGCAGGGGGGAAUAUUGCACAAUGGGCGCAAGCCUGAUGCAGCAACGCCGCGUGAGGGAUGACGGCCUUCGGGUUGUAAACCUCUUUUAGUAGGGAAGAAGCGAAAGUGACGGUACCUGCAGAAAAAGCACCGGCUAACUACGUGCCAGCCGCCGCAGUAA
RNAcentral lists this ribosomal RNA (484 nucleotides) under uncultured bacterium. RNAcentral's name for it is "partial 16S ribosomal RNA". It matches the Rfam family "Bacterial small subunit ribosomal RNA", at positions 28 to 523 of the family's 1533-position model. The record is from RNAcentral.